Long non-coding RNA from Mustela lutreola (European mink), 5480 nucleotides. RefSeq lists it as uncharacterized. The transcript is spliced from 2 exons. The record is from RefSeq and is a predicted model, not a curated record. Lineage: Eukaryota; Metazoa; Chordata; Mammalia; Carnivora; Mustelidae.
UAUAUAUUUUCAUCUUUUUUUCCUGCCAACCUUUAUCUUUAAAGUUUUAUCAUUUUAAAUAGCAUAUAGUGGGUAUAUGUUUUAAGCUUUAACAGAUAGAUUAUUUAUUCCAAUUUGCACUUACCAUAAUGUUUAUGUUAAUUAUGUUAGAGCAUAAUUGAUCAUGUUAAUUAUGUUGACAUAAUUUUAAUGUUUAAAUGGUGGAUUUAGGUCUACCAUUUUAAUCAUUUAUUUUUAAGUUUGAACUACUCUCCCUUGUCUCUCUUCUGUUUUUUGUUCUUCUAUUCCUUCUUCCCUGCAUCCUUUGAUUGCAUUUUUUCAGAUAAUUCCAUCUCCUCUUAUCUUUUUAACUCGAUCUCUUUGCAUAUUUUAGUGGACAUUCUAGUAAUUAAAGUAUACAUAAUUGGUUAUUUUCAGUAUUUUAAGACUAAGUAUUAUAUCACUUCACAUAAACCAUAAAAAUCUUACAACCAUAUAUGUUCACUUCUCUAGUUCCUGUCCCCCACCUUUUUAAAAUUUUUAUUUUAUUUUUUCAGUGUUUCGAGGUCCACGGUUUAUGCACCUUACCAAGGGCUCCAUGCAAUACAUCCCCUCCUUAAUAGUCACUAACCCGCUCCCCAUCCCCCCAUCACACUCCCCUCCAAAACCCUCAAUUUGUAUCUCAUGAGAAUCCACAGUCUCUCAUGCUUUGUUUCCCCCUCCACUUUCUUCCCUUCACUUUUCCUUUAAUUCUCCUAAUGUCCUUCAUGUUAUUCCUUAUGAUCCAAACAUAAGUGAAAUCAUAUGAUAAAUGAUUUCUUUUGCUUGAAUUAUUUCACUUAGCAUAAUCUCCUCCAUUCCCGUCCAUGUUCAUAAUAAUAGUUGGGUAUUCAUCCUUUCUCAUGGCUGCGUAAUAUUCAGUUCUAUAUAUGGACUCUAUCUUCUAUAUCCAUUUAUUUGUUGAAGGGCAUCUUGGCUCCUUUGACAGUUUGGUGAUUGUGGUCAUUGCUGAUUUGAACAUUGGGGUACAUAUGGCCCUUUUUUGCAUUACAUCUGUAUCUUUGGGGUAAAUGCCCAGUAGUACAAAGGCAGGGUCAUAGGAUAGCUUUAUUUUUAACUUUUUUCAGGAAUCUCCACACUGUUUUCCAAAGUGGUUGCACCAACUUGCAUUCCCACCAACAGUAUAAGAGGAUUCCCCUUUCUCCACAUCCUCUCCCACACUUGUUGCUUCUUGUCUUGUUAAUUUUGGUCAUUCUAUCUGGUGUAAAGUGGUAUCUCAGUGUGCUUUUUUAAAAAUUAUUUCUUAAAAAAGAUUUUAUCUAUCUAUUUAUUUAUUUAUUUAUUUAUUUGAGAGAGAGAGAGAGAGAGACAGAGAGACAGAGAGAUAUAUCACCAGUAGGCAGAGAGGCAGGCAGGGGGUGGGGGAAGCAGGCUCCUGCUGAGCAGAGAGCCUGAUGUGGGGCUCGAUCCCAGAAUCCUGAGAUCAUGACCUGAGCCGAAGGCAGAGGCUCAAUGCACUAAGCCAUUCAGGCCUCCCUCAGUGUGGUUUUGAUUUGAAUCUCCCUGAUGGCUAGUGAUGAGGAACAUUUCUUCAUGUUUCUUUUAGCCAUGUGUAUGCCUUUUUUGGAGAAGUGUCUGCCUAUUUUUUGACAUGAUUGUCUGUCUGUGUGUGUUGACUUCGAGGAGUUCUUUAUAGUUCUUGGAUACCAGCCCUUUGUCUGUAGUGUCAUUUGUGAAUAUCCUCUCCCAUUCCGUGGGUUGCCUCUUCGUUUUCUUGACUGUUUUCUUUGCUGUGCAGAAGCUUUUUAUCUUGAUGAAGUCCAAAAAUUCAUUUUUGCCCUUGUUUCCUUUGCCUUUGGAGAUGUUUCUUGAAAGAAGUUGCUGAGGUUGAUGUCAAAGAAUCUGUUACUGUCUUUGUUCUCCUCAAGGAUUUUGAUUGAUUCCUGCCUCACAUUGAGGUUUUUCAUCCAUUUUGAGUUUUUCUUUGUGUAUGGUAUAAAAGAAUAUUCAACUUUCAUUCCUCUAUACAUAGCUGUCCAGUUUUGCCAGCACCAUUUAUUGAAGAGAUUUUUUUCUACUGGAUAUUUUUUCCUGCUUUGUUGAAGAUAUAUUUGACCAUAGAGUUGAGGGUCCACAUCUGUGCUCUCUAUUCUGUUCGAUUGGUCUAUUUGUCUGUUUUUUUUGCCAGUACCAUGCCAUUUUUGUGAUCACAUCUUUGUAAUAAAGUUUUAAAUCAGACAGCAUGAUACCCAAGCUUUGCUUUUCUUUUUCAACAUUUCCUUAGCUAUCCACAGUCUUUUCUUGUCCCAUAUACAUUUUAGGAUUGUUUGUUCUAGCACUUGGAAAUGUCUAUAUUGCCCAGAGCAAUCUAUACUUUCAGUGCCAUCCUGAUCAAAGUUCCUGUCCCCUUUUAUGCUAGAGUUGUCAUGUAUCUACAUUUGCCAGAAACCCUAUAGCCCUACACCAAUGAUAUAAUUGUUCUAAAUAGGUAUAUUUUCCUAACAGAAGAAUAAAAUCCUAUUUAUUUAAAUAUUAACCAGUUUCAGUGCUCUUCUAUCCUGAAGAUCCAUGUUUCCUUCUGCUUUUAUUAUCUAUCUUCCUAAGGAAUUUUUAGCACCAGAAUUACUGGUGGUAAUUCUCAGUUUUCUUUUAUAUGGCAGUUUUCCUUUAUCUGACAGUAGCUUUAUUUAUCAUUUUUUUUUGAAAUUUACCUGUCUUAAUUGAGGUAUGUUGUUACUAAAUAUAGAAUUCUGUUUUUACUUCUUUAUCCCUAGUACUUUAAAGAUAUUUAAAACAAUAUUGCACAUAUUUUAAAUUAAAAGAAAAGUUUCCUUCUUUGGAUAGUUGUAGAAAAUAGUAGAAACAAAAAUUUAAUCUAGCAGAACAGGAUUUGAUAUUUUAAUAAAGGGUAGUUCUGAAGAGUUCCUAGUUGUCUUAUGUCUUCCUGUUUCUCUUUCAUGGUUUUGAUAAAAUGAGCUCCUUUGACAGGGAAUUGGUUUUUUAAAAAAUAUAUAUUCAUAUCUUAUAGGAAAUUCAUAAAAAUAAUCAUUCCAUAUUUUUAAAUGGUUGGCUUAGCUUUCAUGGUAUUAUAGUGAAAAAAUAAGAGAGUAUAAGGAUGACUUAAAUGGUUGCGAGUGUUAAGAAAAAGGGUAAAAAGAUUGGGGUGAAUUGAUGAUAGAAGUCUGAUUUCAUUUAAUUAAUUGGUUACUCUGUCAUUAUGGUCAAAGCAUAGAAAUAUGGAAUGUUUUGUGAAUUGUCCUGUAUUGUAAACAUAUUAUGUGAAUUCCCUUAACACAGAAUUGAUCUAGCUCUUGAAAUAUUAUUUUUAUUGAAGAUAAGUGGGACAUAGGCAUUUUAUAACUUCGGAAUUUGGGAAAGAUAACAUUUGAUAUGAAUGGAAUUUUUUUUCACUUUGGCUUGUCUCCCAUGUGUCAACCCCCAUGACAAUCAGUGCAGAAAAGGAAAGUUGUUGUAGUUUUUUUCCCAUGCACAUCCUCACAAAACAAACUACUGUUCAUCUAUGAUCUUAUGAGAAAUUUAGGACUAACAUUCCAGUGAACGUGUAUGAUAAAUACAGUUUUGUAGAAACAGAUGCUCAGUUUUUUAAAAAAUUAAAUUUAUUUAUUUAUUUUCAGAAAAACAGUAUUCAUUAAUUUUUCACCAUACCCAGUGCUCCAUGCAGUCUUGAGAAACACUCUGAUUGAUGUCGUUAGGUUUUAUGUUAAUGAUUUUCAAAUUCAGCCCUAUUUUGCUUUCCAUCUAUCUACCUGACAAUAUAUUUUCCAUAAUCUGUUUAUCUCGGCCUACUAAUAAUUUGUCUGUCAUCCAUUUUACUGUUAGUCUAUCAUAUAUUUGUCGGCCUAUCUGUAUAUCCAUCCUGCCAUUAGAUAUAGGAGGCAGAAGAAGGUAGAAAUGGAGAACCAAGGGAGUUAUUUCCCAUGUGUGAGGACAAUGGUAACAGUGUCUCUGUGGUGAUCAUGUAUAGAAAGAGAAAGCAAAAACAAAGCAUGAAUGGGAAAAAUUAGUUCAAGGACCUGCCUAGUAGGAACCCUGGCCUUAUUAUUAUAUUUAAACUCUGUCAAUCAAAAUACAGCUGCUUCCAUUGUAUGUCAGACUGACAUGAGAAAAUUUAAAUAUGAGGACUUUACUUUUCCAGUCUUCCUUUACUUCCAUAUUUUAAUAUUCAAGUUCUAAUUACUUGGAAUUAUCACCUCAGUCCAUAUUAUAACAGACCAUGGAUUAGCAAGUCUUUUCUGUAAAAGGCCAAAUAACCUUUCUAAUUUUUCAGGCUGUUGCAGUUGCCAUUGCACUCUGCUGUUCUGGUAUGAAAGCAGCCAAACACAAUGUAUAAUUGAACAGAGAUCUCAGGUAGGCAGAGAAGGAGGCAGAGAGAGAGCGGGAAGCAGGCAUCCUACUGAGCAGAGAGCCCGAUGUGGGGCUCUAUCCCAGGACCCUUGGAUCAUGACCUGAGCUGAAGGCAGAGGCUUAACCCACUGAGCCACCCAGGCUCCCCAGUAUCCAAUAUUCUUAUGCAAUGGCUCAAUUAAACUGUGACUUCCAAGUUUACUCCUGUUUUCUUGUGUUAUCUGCAUGGAGGGAUUAGAGGAGAGAAAAAUAGAAUCUCUAAAACAUGGUAACUAAAGAUUGGGCUAUUUCUUUGCAGUCAAAUAAAAAUAUAUGUGUGUAUUUAUUUAAAAUUUAUAUGACAAAUUCAGUGUUAAUAUUCUCUGAAAGCCUCGCUCACAUCAGUUUAGAAAAAGACAAGCAUCCCAGUACAAGAAGGGGAAGCAUAUAAAUGAACAAUUGAUAAGAGAAGAGCAUUGUGAAUGGCCAAAAGCAUGGAAUAAUAUCCUCAGAUCUGCCACUCUUUAUAAUUAAAUAAUUAAAUAUAUAUGAAAUUAUUAUAAACUAUUAUAAAUAUAAUGAAAUUUAAAUGUGUGUGAGCAUAUGUAGAUUCACAUGUAAUGCCAUGAAUCAACAAUUGUCUUUUUUCACCUAUCAGAUUAAUAGGUAACUUUGUUAACCAAGAAUGGAGAAUUUGGAAAUCCUAGUAUGUUAAAGCCUUUCCAGAAGACAGUGUAAAAUAUAUUAGAUGGGAAUUAACACAUUUUGACUAACAAUUUUAUUUUUAGGAAUUUCCCUAAGUUUGUAAUGGGAAGUGUCCCAAGAUGUAUGUGAACUCAAGGGUAAUCAUUACAGCCUUAGUUGUACUUGUAAAAUUGUAAGUUACCUGUUUACCUAAAAUCAUAAUUCUAAGUAAAUUCAUGUUGAUACAUUUAUCCAGUUGGAGUAUAUUAUGUUAUAUAUGACAAUGUAUGUUUGAAUUAAUUGAUAUGCAAAUCCAAGCCUUUCAUAAGUUUAUCUACCACUUACUGAGUAUCAAGUAUGUUUGAGGCAAUAACAUUGUAUUUCAUUCAUGUAAAAUGAUAUCAAUAUGUGCUUGUGCAGAUAUGAUCAAUAAACCAAUUUUAUAGAAAGAAUAUUAAAAAUGUUGAUAAUGA